UGGCGGACGGGUGAGUAACGCGUGGGCAACCUGCCCCAUACAGGGGGAUAACAGCCGGAAACGGCUGCUAAAACCGCAUAAGCACACAAGGGCCGCAUGGCCUGGUGUGAAAAACUCCGGUGGUAUGGGAUGGGCCCGCGUCUGAUUAGCUAGUUGGCGGGGGAGAGGCCCACCAAGGCGACGAUCAGUAGCCGACCUGAGAGGGUGGCCGGCCACAUUGGGACUGAGACACGGCCCAAACUCCUACGGAAGGCAGCAG
This 259-nucleotide ribosomal RNA is filed under the name uncultured bacterium. RNAcentral's name for it is "partial 16S ribosomal RNA". It matches the Rfam family "Bacterial small subunit ribosomal RNA", at positions 96 to 354 of the family's 1533-position model. The record is from RNAcentral.